UUUCCGUAGGUGAACCUGCGGAAGGAUCAUUAGUGAAUUGAAUAAGUUAGCGAACCUCUUCGGGGUCCCUAGCAUCAAACCCUAUCCAAAACACCUUUGAACUGGAAGGCUGUCUUGAAAACGAAGGUGAUUAAACCGCCUGCCCAUUUUAUCCAAUCAUUAAAGUAAAAAACGUAGUCUUCUUAUCAUUUAAUAAUACUUUCAACAACGGAUCUCUUGGCUCUC
RNAcentral lists this unclassified non-coding RNA (225 nucleotides) under plant metagenome. RNAcentral's name for it is "partial contains small subunit ribosomal RNA, internal transcribed spacer 1, and 5.8S ribosomal RNA". The record is from RNAcentral.